Molecule: ribosomal RNA, 499 nt
Filed under: uncultured bacterium
Lineage: Bacteria
Description: bacterial SSU rRNA
Rfam family: Bacterial small subunit ribosomal RNA
Source: RNAcentral
CUGGCUCAGGAUGAACGCUGGCGGCGUGCUUAACACAUGCAAGUCGAACGAAGCACUGGCUUUGAAGUUUUCGGACAGAUAAGCCUCUGACUUAGUGGCGGACGGGUGAGUAACGCGUGGGCAACCUGCCGUAUGCAGGGGGACAACAGUUGGAAACGACUGCUAAUACCGCAUAAGCGCACGGGGACGCAUGUUUCUGUGUGAAAAGCCUUAACGGCAUACGAUGGGCCCGCGUUGGAUUAGGUAGUUGGUGAGGUAACGGCCACCAAGCCGACGAUCCAUAGCCGACCUGAGAGGGUGACCGGCCACAUUGGGACUGAGACACGGCCCAAACUCCUACGGGAGGCAGCAGUGGGGAAUAUUGCACAAUGGGGGAAACCCUGAUGCAGCCGACGCCGCGUGAGUGAAGAAGUAUUUCGGUAUGUAAAGCUCUAUCAGCAGGGAAGAAAAUGACGGUACCUGACUAAGAAGCCCCGGCUAACUACGUGCCAGCAGCUGC